This 250-nucleotide ribosomal RNA is filed under the name uncultured bacterium. RNAcentral describes it as "partial 16S ribosomal RNA". It matches the Rfam family "Archaeal small subunit ribosomal RNA", at positions 474 to 723 of the family's 1478-position model. The record is from RNAcentral.
CACCAGCGCCACGAGUGGGGACCAGUAUUAUUGGGCCUAAAGCGUCCGUAGCCGGGCUUGUAAAUCUCUUGUGAAAUCGUUGGGCUCAACCUAACGGCGUGCAGGAGACACUGCAAGUCUUGAGACCGGGAGGAGUCAGGGGUAUUCUUGGGGUAGCGGUAAAAUGCGAUAAUCCCUGGAAGACCACCUGUGGCGAAGGCGUCUGACCAGAACGGGUCUGACGGUGAGGGACGAAAGCUGGGGGAGCGAU